This 66-nucleotide transfer RNA is filed under the name Adelphocoris fasciaticollis. RNAcentral describes it as "tRNA-Pro". It matches the Rfam family "tRNA". From Rfam's summary of the family: Transfer RNA (tRNA) molecules are approximately 80 nucleotides in length. The record is from RNAcentral. Lineage: Eukaryota; Metazoa; Arthropoda; Insecta; Hemiptera; Miridae.
CAAUGGAUAGUUUAAUAUAAAAUAUUAAUUUUGGAGAUUAAUGACAAGAGUUUAUCUUUCUAUUGA